Chrysemys picta bellii (western painted turtle) is the source of this 644-nucleotide non-coding RNA. NCBI's taxonomy places the organism in Eukaryota, Metazoa, Chordata, Testudines, Emydidae. The record is from RefSeq and is a predicted model, not a curated record.
CCAUGUUUCUCUUUGUUUUUCAGGGCGCCCCGUUCCCCAACCUGCAGGGCUCCUGAGUUAGAUCCUGGGCGUCGGAUCCCCCGGCCGGCAGGAGUUUCCGUCCGUCUCCCCCAGCCCCUCGCCCAGCCCAGAGAAUGGAGAACCUGGGGCCGGUCCCUUCCUGUCCCCGUCUGCUCCCCGCGCUCUGCCCGGCUCCAGCCCGCGCUGCCCCCGCCUGGGGACCCGUCCCUGCCCCUCAGUCCCAGCGGGGCCCUGGGGCGACCCUGUCACGCUGUCGAAUGGCUCACGAGUGUGGGGACCAAUCUCAGGGCACAGUUAGUACCCGGGACACCAACCCCAAAUUGGCUGAGUUCUGUACUGAGAUUUCACCAAAGUAUCGGGUGUGAACUCCACAGGCCCUGUAACAAAGUAAACGCGGAGCCUCAGACAGUCCCCUUGGGUUCUUCGAUCUGUCUGGCCACCCCGGCCAGCCUGCCCUUGUGAUCGAUCGAUAGUCCCUUCCUCCACAAAUCACAGCGAUGUUCGGGUCACUCCGUGUCCCACAGGCCAGUCGCUUAGCCCAGGGCAGUGGCACCUUCGAUCUCCCUCUACAGACAACGCUUGUAGCCAAUCCUGUAAUAACCGCAGUAAAGAUUUGUUACCUA